CUCGCUCAUUAAUGUCUUAAUUGAAAUUAUGGAUGCUUCUUAUCUGCUGUCAGUAGAAACUACAUUUGUUAAAGCAAGUCAGCCAUACCAGCUAUGUUUUUUUUAAAUGCAGUAAAUGAAGCUGAAUGAACUAUUUGGCUGCCAGACACGGCUCCGGUGAUAGCCAGGUGUAGCAGUGGAUUCUUGGCACCGUUCCCACCGACCUUCCACUUGUCCUUGAGUGCCUUGAGCAGCUGUUUCAGCCUCCCUCUCCGUCUCCUCGUCAAAGAUUGAGCUGGGACAUGGAGAAGACCCAGUGGUCACUGUGGGGUCGGUAGAACAGGAUCUGGGGCGUGAUCUUUCCAAUGAAGCCUGGAGAGCACAAUAAACCAAAGGUCACGCAAGCGGGACUGAUCAGCAAGAACUCGAGAUAAGUGUAGUGAGUGCCCAGAAAUGAACAACAAUCUGAUGGUGUGAAAAAAAACAGCAGUCGAGUUUCUUUUUCUUUUAUAGAUUUCCUGC
Molecule: long non-coding RNA, 501 nt
Organism: Oncorhynchus tshawytscha (Chinook salmon)
Lineage: Eukaryota; Metazoa; Chordata; Actinopteri; Salmoniformes; Salmonidae
Source: Ensembl